This 4579-nucleotide small RNA is filed under the name Pan troglodytes (chimpanzee). Its description in RNAcentral is "retained intron". Lineage: Eukaryota; Metazoa; Chordata; Mammalia; Primates; Hominidae. The record is from RNAcentral.
AGAGGGGGCGUGGCCUGCCCCCGGCCCAGCCGGCUCUUCUUUGCCUCUGCUGGAGUCCGGGGAGUGGCGUUGGCUGCUAGAGCGAUGCCGGGCCGGAGUCGCGUCGCCUUAGUCCUCCUGGCUGCCGCCGUCAGCUGUGCCGUCGCGCAGCACGCGCCGCCGUGGACAGAGGACUGCAGAAAAUCAACCUAUCCUCCUUCAGGACCGACGUACAGAGGUCCAGUUCCAUGGUACACCAUAAAUCUUGACUUACCACCCUACAAAAGAUGGCAUGAAUUGAUGCUUGACAAGGCACCGAUGCUAAAGGUUAUAGUGAAUUCUCUGAAGAAUAUGAUAAAUACAUUCGUGCCAAGUGGAAAAAUUGUGCAGGUGGUGGAUGAAAAAUUGCCUGGCCUACUUGGCAACUUUCCUGGCCCUUUUGAAGAGGAAAUGAAGGGUAUUGCCGCUGUUACUGAUAUACCUUUAGGUAAAGUUCACUUAGAAGCUUUAAAAAAAAAAAUAAUUAAAUUCUUUUACAAGUUUCCAUUGAGGUGUGAUAUACAUACAGCAAAGUGCACAGGUCUUAGAUAUACAGCUCAGUGAAGCUUCAGAAAUGCAUGCAUGCAUGUAGCCAUGACUCAGAUCAAGAUACGGAAGAGCCCAGCACUCCACGAUGCUCCAUCAUGCCCCUUUGCAGAAAAUACUGCCUCCUCCAGUAAACACUAUUCUGAUGUCACUAUAGAUUAGUUUUGCCUCUUCGUGAACUUUGUAUAAAUAGAACUGAACAAUAUGAACUGUCCUGUGUGAUUUCUUGUAUUUCAUUAUGGGUGGUGUGCUAUUGUAUCAGCAGGGUAUUUGGGUAGUUUUCAGAUUUGUGAUAUUAACAAUAAAGGAAUUAUAAAUAUUGUAGUACAUUUUGGGGGGGUUCUAGGUACUCAUUUUCUGGAUAUAUACCUAGGAAGUGAACUGUUGUGUUAUAGAGUAAUUGUGUGUUUAGCCUUAUAGAUUCUGCCAAACAGUUUUCCAAAGUGAUUCCAGCAGUUGACAAUCAGCAGAGUAUGAGAGUUUCAGUUUUCUCCUAUGAUAAUUCUCCUCUCGAUAGUGUCAGUCUUUUCUUUUUCCUUUUUUUUUUUGUUAGUGUCAAUCUUUAUUUGAGCCUUUUUGUUGAGUGUCACAGUAUCGCAUUUUAGUUUCAAUUUGCAUUUCCUUGAUGACUAAUGAGAUUGAACAGUUUAUUGACUUUUUUUUUUUGGUUUCUUUGUUUCUUUUGGAGAAGGGCUUGUGAAGGUCUUUUGCCCUUUUAAAAAUUAGACUGAAGGAAUUUUUUACAUACUUUGAAUAUAAGCCCUUUGUCAGAUAUAUGGAUUCUGAAUAUCUGCUCCCAGUCUAUGACUUUCAUUUUUAUUCUCUUACUUUUGUCUUUUGAUGAACAGAAAUUUUUAAUUUUAGUGAAGUCUAAUAUCUCAGUCUUCUCUUUUAUGAGUAGUGCCUUUUGUAUCCAUUUAAGGAAUCUUGGCCUACCCCAAAGUCAUAUAUAUAUGCUUAUAUAUUUUCUUCUAGAUGUUUAAUGUUUACUUUUUACAUUUAGGCCUAUCAUCUAUUUUGAAUUAUUUUUGUAUAUGCUAUGACUUAUGGGUCAAGCUUCAGGUUUUUCUCAUAUGGUAUAUCCAGUUAGUUAAACACUAUCAAUUCAAAAGGCUAUCCUUUCCUCAGCAAAUUGCAGUGAUGUGUUUGAUAUAAAUAUACAAUACAUAUGUAUAUACACACACACACACACAAUGUGUAUCUGUAUAUACAAUCAGGUGAUUGUAUAUAUGUUGUUUUGUUUGGGGAAUUAAGUUUCAUUUACAUAUUUGUCUUUUUGUCUUCCCUUAUAUCAAUACUAUUUCACCUCAGUUACUAAAGCUUUAUAGUAAGUCUUCAAAUUAGGUGGUAUAAUUCUUCCAACUUUGUUUUUCUCAAUAUUUAUUUAAGUUACUGAUUUCUCUGAGCAGUAUCUUUUAUUUUCAGGGAGAAGACCUUGCAUGUCAUUCGUUAAAAUUAUUCUUAGAUAUUGAUGGUUUGGGAAGCUAUUUUUAAAAUUUCAAUUUAAGCUUUAUGGCAUGUAACGAAAAAGAUUUUCCCCAUGACCCCAAAAGUUUUAUCUUUAAGCUAGCAAAGCAGUAGUGUCAUUAUUUUAAAUAGCCAACAGUACCUUCAUUUGAUAAGAGAGAUGAUUGAGAAUUUGUGAAAAUCAGUAGUAUUUAUCAACAAAAGUGGCUAGUUUUGUGUGCUGCUUCUUUAAAAAAAUCAUUUAAAAGAUAGCAUACUGGAAAUAUGUACUUGCUGCCUUUAUGGAGAGCAAGUCUAAUUCCUUUAUUAUGUAAAGAACUCUAGCAACUCAAUACCAAAUAGCUUACCAAAAAUACCUUAUGGAUUAAGAAUAACAUCAUAUAUAAGUGGUGUAAAUUUAUAUAAUUAUUAUAAAUUAUUAUAAAUGUAUAAUAAAAUAACUAGAAUUUCACCAAAUUAGAAAUUUAAUGGAAAUAAAAUAAACAUUGGAUUUGGGUGAAAAAAACAUGUUGAGCUUAACAUGUUAAUGUUAAAUGGGACAGAAAUACAAUGUGCUGCCUACUUUUGAAUUAAAUGCUAAAUAGCAGUAUUAUACAUUUUGGGAAAAUAUUCAAAAAAUAAAAUACCCUAGAAUGGAGUUUCUUGGCAGCUCUGUACUAAUUUUAAUAGUUCUUGAAUCUCCUUUUUCACCUUAGAAAUUUUAGUCACACUUUAAAAAUCUGGGCAAAAUAUAUGUCCAGCAAACAGCCAAGAGCCAGAUGUAUUAAAUGAUCAUAUUUACGCUCCCAAAAGAAAAUUCAAAAUGAAGCAUGUUGAUAAUAAACAUUUUGGACGUGAUGUUGGAGAACAAUUGCAACCUGCCCAGAUGUUCAGCUCGCCCAAAGGCUGCCUCCUUGGUGACUUGUUUCAUCUUGAGUCUAGAGAGACCAGGCUGGGGAAGAAAACCACCUCCAGCCAGCCGUUCCAGCACAGCCCCACUGGCCAAAGCACACACUCACACAAUGAAAACACUGAAACUUUUUCUUAAAACAAAUUUUUCUCCCAUUGUCAUGGUUCUGUAUAUUAACACAAAAUUUUCUUUUCUCAUAGGAGAGAUUAUUUCAUUCAAUAUUUUUUAUGAAUUAUUUACCAUUUGUACUUCAAUAGUAGCAGAAGACAAAAAAGGUAAUUGUAUGCUGAGGGAGGGUGGGCAGCAUGAAGCACUACAUACAGAAAAAUCUUCUAAAUGAAAUUAGAACUUCUAAAAUUUGGGCUUGCUAUGUAAAUUCUGUGUAUGUUGCGUACAGCUUUUUAUUUCUUGGUAAAAUUUUGUGAUUGUACUGAAAAUUUUCCUUAUUUUCAGACUACUGUACUGCCUAUUAAAGUUGAUUUCAGACAUGCAAAAAACCUGGAAGAAAUGUUUCAGGGCUAGAAACAUUCUUCUCUUUCUCAUAGUUUACUUCUACCCAUCUACAUGAUUUGAUAGAAGUGCUCGCAGGAGGUGCUUCCUUAUCUUCGUGUAUGUCAUGACAUCUGUCCUUUUCUUGAGGCCCAGAACACACAUUCUACCAUCCUUUCCCAGCCAGGCAACCCAAUGGAUACCAGCCUCACUUUCCCGUAUUUUUCCUGACUGGUCCCCAGAGUACAAAGCACAGGACAACUUCACUAACUCACCCUGAUCUUUGACCUAUACUCUGGGUAUAAAUCUGCCUGUACCUUACCCUUGAGAUGUCCUGCUCUAGGGGAUGGUGCCUGAAGGGAAACAUUUGAUGAAUCACAGUAAUUGAGGCUCAGAUUUCUGUGUCCUGGUAGAACCAUGUGAUAGUGAACCAAAACGUGACCAUUGAUUCCUUUUCCCAUAUUCUGAUCUUACCUGGAAACCCGUGCUCUCAAAUUUUGUGGGGUUAUCUGGCAGAUUGACAGUGACAACAGUCCCAUCUGGUGAAGGCUUAGGAUAUUAGGAUAUUUCUUACUUCUUAUUGUUUGAAGAAACAAUUGUGAAUAUAAAUUAAUCAAAAUUAGAGGCCAGGCACAGUGGCUUACCCCUGUAAUGCCAGCACUUUGCGAGGCUGAGGCGGGCGAAUCAUCUGAGGUUGGGAGUUUGACACCAGACUGGCCAACAUGGUAAAACCCCUUCUCUACUAAAAGAAAAAUACACACACACACAAAAAAAGUAGCCAGGUGCGGUCGCACAUGUCUGUAAUCCCAACUACGUGGAAGGCUGAGGCACAAGAAUUGCUUGAACCUGGGAGGCAGAGGUUGCAGUGAGCUGAGAUCGCACCACUGCACUCCAGUCUGGCCAACAGAACGAGACUCUGUCUCAGAAAUUAAUUAAUUAAUCAAAAUUAAUUGUCCAGCUUUGAUUUAGAAUCUUAACUGCUAUUACACGUCUCUUCUGUCUACCUUCAAAUAGGUCAUCUAAUACAUGGGAGAAACAUGGAUUUUGGAGUGUUUCUUGGGUAAGUACAGAACAAAGGGUCAGGCAUGGUGGUUCACGCCUGUAAUCCCAGCUUUUUGGGAGGCUGACACGGGUGGAUCACGAGGUCAGGAGUUCAAGACCAGCCUGGCC